Molecule: non-coding RNA, 1109 nt
Organism: Monodelphis domestica (gray short-tailed opossum)
Lineage: Eukaryota; Metazoa; Chordata; Mammalia; Didelphimorphia; Didelphidae
Source: RefSeq, a predicted model, not a curated record
GGAAGGAAUGGCCUGCGCUCUGGCUGGCACUGCGGUCCCCCUGCCCGCCCCGGGGGCGUCUUGUCCGAGGUCCAGAUUGGAUUCCCGGAUUUUUGCCCGAAUUGGUGCUUGGGCUGGGCAGGACAAUGCACACUGGGAGCCGUGCUGGGGCCAGUAGUCUGGUUCAGUGCGCGCGCGCGUGUUUCCAGCUCUAUGGCGGGGCUGCGGGGAGGCUCGUGUUUCCAUGGCCUUUGGGGGGCCCAGCCCUUCUCGGAGGGCCCCCUGGCAGGACGGUCCCCAGCUCGCGCCCGAGCCAGUACAGGGAUGUGACCUGGCCUGUGCCACAGUGUACGUUGUCCCUCCACCUCAGAAUGUUCGGAGAAAUGAAGAGGAGGAGGAGGAGGAGGUGGAGACAGUGCCCAGACAGCUUCCAGCCCAUUGCCAAAGCCAUGGUGCGCUGACCCAGCCCUGGGCCUUGGGAGGAUGGCCAGCGGGCGCGGAGGCCCUCUCCUGUGCAAGCCGCGGGCAGCCAAUCCUGAGCCCCUCUGCCUCUCCCCGCACCGCUCUCUGCAGCUGGCCCUAAUGAUGGAUGGGGCUGUUCAGCAGUACCUUUUGGGGGACAGGGACCAGCACUGCGUCUAAUUACCCCCUUCUCCAGUGAGACAGAGCAGGACAGAAGGGACAGAAUGGAGGCCGCUUGCAACAGGAAGCAGGAAGGGCAGAUACCGUGGCCCAAGGGACCAUGGAGUCCCUUCAGCCUUCAGUUUCCUGAAGUCAGUGAUUGUCUCGAAAGUCUGGAUUGUCAGGAAAGAGGGAGGUCUUCGGGGGAAAACUCAAGAAGAGGAAACCAAACUAUAGCUUUGGAUGGAGACCAAAGAUGAGAAAAAAGGGGGGAAAUGACUUUCCCAAGGUCACCCAGAUAUGAAGUGGCAGAGAAGCAGGUCUUGGGGUACCAUCUGAGAUGCUCUUUCUCAUGCCUUAAUGGUGAUCUGACAAUGACAGGGGAGAGGAUUCCUACACUACCAAGGCCAAGGUCAUUAUGAGAUUUAUUAUGAACAACAGCAGUCAUUAUUACUAACUACUUGAGAAUUCUUAGAGAUAAGAUCAAGGUAAUAAAUCUUUGAAAAACA